This 205-nucleotide unclassified non-coding RNA is filed under the name plant metagenome. RNAcentral's name for it is "partial contains small subunit ribosomal RNA, internal transcribed spacer 1, and 5.8S ribosomal RNA". The record is from RNAcentral.
UCUCCGUUGGCGAACCAGCGGAGGGAUCAUUACCGAGUUAUACUCCAAACCCUUUGUGAACCUACCAUUUGUUGCUCGGCGCGCAGCGGGUUGGCCUAACCGCCGCCCGCGACGCGCCAGAGGACCCAAACUCUUAUCUUAUAGCGUACCUUCUGAUUAAAAAGACAAACAGUCAAAACUUUCAACAACGGAUCUCUUGGUUCUG